This 491-nucleotide ribosomal RNA is filed under the name uncultured bacterium. RNAcentral's name for it is "partial 16S ribosomal RNA". It matches the Rfam family "Bacterial small subunit ribosomal RNA", at positions 28 to 507 of the family's 1533-position model. The record is from RNAcentral.
GAUGAACGCUGGCUACAGGCUUAACACAUGCAAGUCGAGGGGAAACGACGGGGAAGCUUGCUUCCCCGGGCGUCGACCGGCGCACGGGUGAGUAACGCGUAUCCAACCUGCCUCUGACUGAGGGAUAACCCGUCGAAAGUCGGCCUAAUACCUCAUGGCAUCGUCUGCGGGCAUCCAACGACGAUUAAAGAUUUCAUCGGUCAGAGAUGGGGAUGCGUCUGAUUAGCUUGUUGGCGGGGUAACGGCCCACCAAGGCGACGAUCAGUAGGGGUUCUGAGAGGAAGGUCCCCCACAUUGGAACUGAGACACGGUCCAAAAUCCUACGGGAGGCAGCAGUGAGGAAUAUUGGUCAAUGGGCGAGAGCCUGAACCAGCCAAGUAGCGUGCAGGAUGACGGCCCUAUGGGUUGUAAACUGCUUUUAUGCGGGGAUAAAGUGAGGGACGUGUCCUUCAUUGCAGGUACCGAAUGAAUAAGGACCGGCUAAUUCCGUG